RNAcentral lists this ribosomal RNA (443 nucleotides) under uncultured bacterium. RNAcentral describes it as "partial 16S ribosomal RNA". It matches the Rfam family "Bacterial small subunit ribosomal RNA", at positions 338 to 795 of the family's 1533-position model. The record is from RNAcentral.
CCUACGUGGGGCAGCAGUGGGGAAUAUUGGGCAAUGGGCGCAAGCCUGACCCAGCAACGCCGCGUGAAGGAAGAAGGCUUUCGGGUUGUAAACUUCUUUUCUCAGGGACGAAGAAAGUGACGGUACAUGAGGAAUAAGCCACGGCUAACUACGUGCCAGCAGCCGCGGUAAUAAGUAGGUGGAAAGCGUUAUCCGGAUUUAUUGGGUGUAAAGGCCGUGUAGGUGGGAGCGCAAGUCAGAUGUGAAAACUCAGGGCUCAACCCUGAGCAUGCAUUUGAAACUGUGUUUCUUGAGUGCUGGAGAGGCAAUCGGAAUUCCGGGUGUAGCGGUGAAAUGCGUAGAUAUACGGAGGAACACCAGUGGCGAAGGCGGAUUGCUGGACAGUAACUGACGCUGAGGCGCGAAAGCGUGGGGAGCAAACAGGAUUAGAUACCCUUGUAGUC